Triticum aestivum (bread wheat) is the source of this 3728-nucleotide RNA transcript. RefSeq lists it as uncharacterized. The record is from RefSeq and is a predicted model, not a curated record. The transcript has 9 exons. NCBI's taxonomy places the organism in Eukaryota, Viridiplantae, Streptophyta, Magnoliopsida, Poales, Poaceae.
CCCUCCCCUCCCCUCCCCCCACCCCCAAACUCCCCCGCGGCCGCCUCCGUCCCGCCCUUCCUCCCUGGGCCAUCGCGCGGCGCGCUCCUGCCGUCCCCGCCCCGCCCGCGGUCUCUGGCCGCCGAGCCUCGAGGUGCGAGCUAGGUCGCCUCCGUCCGGCGACCCUCCUGCUCAAUCCCACUCCACGAUGCGCGCCGCUUAGAUCCCCAUGCUCCUGUGGCGCCGCAAAUGCGUCGCCGAGUGCUGCAGGCACGCCGGGGCCCCGCCCGCGGCGCAACCGUCCCCACCCCCUCGCCGCUGCCGCCGCCGCCUCUCCGUGCUCGCCGCCUGGGCGCACCAGCCGGACGACGACUCCACCUCCAGCGGCGAGGAGAGGCCCAGCUGCGCUCCUCCCCGUGAGGUUAUCUGGAGAAGGGGCUGCGCUCCCGGCGAGAAUCCCCGGAGGAGGAGCUCUGCUCCGAGCCUGAGCUCUGCCGGGGUCGUCAGGACGCUCCAGCGCCUGGAGAGGAAGCCUGCCAUCGCGUUCGCCUACUUCAAGGACACCGAGAGCAUCGGCUUUCGCCAUGACCUUGCCACCUACGCCGAGAUCAUCCGCGUCCUGUCACAUAAGGGCCAGGGGAGGAUUCUGUUCUCCUUGUUCAGUGACAUCCUCUCGCCGGCCGAUGGCGGCGGCGGCGGCCCUGAGAUCGUGCCGCUCAUGGAUCAGCUCAGAAGCACAUGCACUACUUCGUAUGCUCUCUUGUUUGCGACAGACUGCUUGAUCAAAACAUGCACCACUUGUUGCAGUGCAGAGGACACAAUAGGGCUGUUUGGUGACCUCUGCAGGCUUGGAAUCGUCCCGGCAGCUUGGACUUGCAACAUACUUCUCAAAUUUGCAGCCGAGGGCGGUGACUCGGAGGUUGUUGUAUCGGCUUAUGAUCAAAUCAAGGAAUUUGGAUUGACUUUGGAUGCUCACGCGUUAGUCCUCAUCACUAGGUCUCUCUUUCGAGAAAAGAAGGCAGACAAAGCAUUCCAAAUGUGGGUUGAGAUGAUUGAAAUGGGGGUGAAACCAGAUGUAAUUGCAUACUCAUCAUUUAUAACUGGUCUGUGUGAUUGCGGAAAGGUUGAUUUGGCUUAUGCGAUUCUGCAAGAGAUCAACAGAGAGGGGAUUCAAGUUGAGGACAUGGCUUAUAACACAGUAAUGGAUGGGCUAUGCAAGGAAAUGAGACUGCAGGAGGCUGAAAUGCUCUUGGAGAACAAGACCAGACAAGGGCUCACACCAGAUAUAUAUGGUUAUAGCUAUCUCAUUCGGAGUUAUGGCAAAGCGGGCAACCUACUCAAGGUGUUGGACCAUUAUCAAGCCAUGGUAUCCCAUGGUUUCGAAACAAACUGCCACAUUGUGAGUUAUCUUCUACAAUGCUUUAUGAAGUUAGGCAUGACAUCUCAAGUUACAGAGCAUUUCCAGAAACUCAGAGAUUCGGGACUCCAUCUAGAUGGCGUUCUGUAUAACAUUGCCAUUGAUGCUUAUUGCAAGGAUGGGAACAUGGAUGAGGCGGUUAAGCUACUGAGAGAAAUGAAGGCUGAGGGUCUGACACCUGACAGAUUUCACUAUACAUGCGUGAUCAAGGGUUAUUGCUUGAAGGGAGAUGUACCAAAUGCACGUCAAGCAUUUGAAGUGAUGCUGAAGGCCAAUGUAAAGCCAGAUGUAGUUACAUAUAACAUAUUGGCCAGUGGAUUUUGCAAGAAUGGUCUUGUUACGGAGGUGUUUGACCUUCUAGACCAUAUGGCGGAUCAAGGGUUAGAGCCUAAUUCACUCACUUAUGGUAUAAUAAUUGAUGGGUUUUGCAGAAGUGGCAACCUUAGUGAAGCUGAGGUGUUAUUUAAUAUAGUAGAAGAGAAAGGAAUCGAACGCAUCGAAGUAUUGUACAGUUCAAUGGUUUGUGGCUAUUUGCAUUCAGGCUGGACUGAUCAUGCUUACAUGCUUUUUCUUAGGGUUGCUAAGCAAGGAAAAUUUGUGGAUCAUUUCUCAUGUUCAAAGUUGAUGAAUGACCUUUGUAGGGAUGGAAAUGCCCAGGGAGCUUCAACAGUUUGCAGCAUGAUGUUAGAAAAUAAUGUUAUUCCUGAUGUAAUUUCAUAUAGCAAACUCAUAUCAGCCUAUUGUCAGACAGGAGAUAUGCACAAUGCUCUCUUAUGGUUUCAUGAUAUGGUUCAGCGAGGACUUUCUGUUGAUGUUAUUGUAUACACUGUACUAAUGAAUGGUUACUGCAAGGUUGGCCAGAUGGAAGAAGCUUGCAAAUUGUUUGAUCAGAUGACAAGUUUAGGUAUUAAGCCUGACGUAAUUGCAUAUACCAUGCUACUGGAUGGUCACCUAAAAGAGUACCUGCAGCGGUGCUGGCAGGGCGUUAGUAAGGAGAGAAGGAUCUAUGUUCUUAGAACAAAGCAGAACAGGUUGCUCAGCUCUAUGAAAAAAAUGGAAAUCAAACCUGAUGUACCCUUUUACACCGUAUUGAUAGAUGGGUACUGCAAAGCCGGUGAUUUUGAGAAAGCCCGGGGAGAAUUUGAUGAAGUGUUGCAGAAAGGGCUGACUCCUGAUCAACAUGUAUACGCAGCUCUGAUAUGUGGAUAUUGCAGCCAGGGCGAAAUAGAGAAGGCACAAGAUCUUUUUGAAGAAAUGGUAGACAGGGGAAUAAAACCACAUGUACUGGCCUUUUCUGUAUUAAAUCAGAAAACCUUGAGGGAAAGGCAGUAUAAGUGACAUGUAUGAUUUUGCUGCAGUUAUAUCCACUGAAAUCUCGUCAGCGAGGUUUGGGAUGCGACUGCAUCAGAACCCAAGUUACUUGUCUAUCUGAAGUCUUACAGGAACACAGUACCCGUCCCAAGGCACUGGUCUCAAAAGAGGAAAUUCUUGCAGGGAUGCUGCAAUUUCCUGGGAGCAAGGUCUUGGUGGUACUGUACUUGAGUGUUUGAUCUAGUUGAUUCAUGCUAGGCAUUCCCUUGAAAGACAUUUAGGUCCAUCUAGGAUCUUGAUCCUCGGCCCUCCUUUGCUUGCUUAUACAAGGCAAGAAAGGUAUCGAAAAACAACCAUUCCAACUUCCUGACUUCAUUGCUGCAAGUGGAAUAGAAAAAAUAAGACAGUAUCUUAAUAUCUUGGUCCUUUGUAGCAAUGCUAUGGAGACAUUGUUUCUCCCUUGUCAACUUGGCAUAUAUCGAGAAAGAGGAUAGCAAAAAGUUGAAGCAGAAGCAGCGGGAGCGUAUGCAGCCAAAAAUGGGCAAGAUGGAUAUAGAUUAUCAGGUUUUACACGGAAACCAAAAUUGACUAGUCAUGGUGACCUUUACUACGAAGGAAAUAAUUUGAGCAGGUCAAACUUAGGGAAAUGAAGCCAGGUAUGCUGUCCCAAGAACUUAAAGAAGCACUUGGUAUGCCAGAAGGUGCACCGCCCCCAUGGCUUAUAAACAUGCAGCUAUCAACUGACAUCAAAUAAUUUUGGCCGAGAUAUGGUCCUGCUCCCUCUUAUCCUUCACUGAAGAUUCCUAGUCUGAAUGCCCCAAUUCCUCCUGGUGCUACUUUUGGUUACCGGCCUGGGGAAUGGGGAAAGGGGAAAGGCGAAAGCCUCCUGUGGAUGAGCUCUACCAGUCAGCUGACUGUUGUGGUGCAUUGUAUUCCAGGAGGAAUCUGUUGACCGCAGCAAGCAUUGGGGAGACUUGGAGGAGGAAGAGGAAGAGGAGGAAGAGGAAGAGGAACUAAUGGA